This 491-nucleotide ribosomal RNA is filed under the name uncultured bacterium. RNAcentral describes it as "partial 16S ribosomal RNA". It matches the Rfam family "Bacterial small subunit ribosomal RNA", at positions 28 to 507 of the family's 1533-position model. The record is from RNAcentral.
GAUGAACGCUGGCUACAGGCUUAACACAUGCAAGUCGAGGGGAAACGACGGGGAAGCUUGCUUCCCCGGGCGUCGACCGGCGCACGGGUGAGUAACGCGUAUCCAACCUGCCUCUGACUGAGGGAUAACCCGUCGAAAGUCGGCCUAAUACCUCAUGGUAUCGUCUGCGGGCAUCCAACGACGAUUAAAGAUUUCAUCGGUCAGGGAUGGGGAUGCGUCUGAUUAGCUUGUUGGCGGGGUAACGGCCCACCAAGGCUACGAUCAGUAGGGGUUCUGAGAGGAAGGUCCCCCACAUUGGAACUGAGACACGGUCCAAACUCCUACGGGAGGCAGCAGUGAGGAAUAUUGGUCAACGGGCGAGAGCCUGAACCAGCCAAGUAGCGUGCAGGAAGACGGCCCUAUGGGUUGUAAACUGCUUUUAUGCGGGGAUAAAGUGAGGGACGUGUCCCUCAUUGCAGGUACCGCAUGAAUAAGGACCGGCUAAUUCCGUG